GGCGGUCUGUCGCUUGCGUCCUCCUCAUAGCGACGUAAGAGGAAAGUCCGGGCAGCAUAGGGCACUCCGCUUCCUAACGGGAAGGGGCUCGCAAGGGUCGGUCGGUGCAGAAGAAAACAACCGCCGCUCUCCCCAUGGUGGAGCGGUAAGGGUGAGAAGGUGGGGUAAGAGCCCACCAGCCGAGCGGUGACGCAUCGGGCUGUGCACCCCGGAGGCUGAAAGUUCGCGUAAACCAGCGCACAUAGAGGGCGGCCCGCCCCAGUCCGCAAGGCGCGUUGGAGGGUAGAACGAUAGAGACGUGUGGCGACACACGCCGUAGAUAAAUGACAGACACCGCUGCGCCAUAGCGCUCCGCGCAGACCAGCGGCACAAAACCCGGCUUACAGCCCCG
RNAcentral lists this RNase P RNA (391 nucleotides) under bovine gut metagenome. RNAcentral's name for it is "Bacterial RNase P class A". It matches the Rfam family "Bacterial RNase P class A". From Rfam's summary of the family: Ribonuclease P (RNase P) is a ubiquitous endoribonuclease, found in archaea, bacteria and eukarya as well as chloroplasts and mitochondria. Its best characterised activity is the generation of mature 5'-ends of tRNAs by cleaving the 5'-leader elements of precursor-tRNAs. The record is from RNAcentral.